This 466-nucleotide ribosomal RNA is filed under the name uncultured bacterium. RNAcentral describes it as "partial 16S ribosomal RNA". It matches the Rfam family "Bacterial small subunit ribosomal RNA", at positions 28 to 507 of the family's 1533-position model. The record is from RNAcentral.
GACGAACGCUGGCGGCGUGCUUAACACAUGCAAGUCGAACGGUAAGGCUCCAGCUUGCUGGGGUACACGAGUGGCGAACGGGUGAGUAACACGUGGGUGACCUGCCCUGCACUUCGGGAUAAGCCUGGGAAACUGGGUCUAAUACCGGAUAGGACCAUGGUGUGGAUACUGUGGUGGAAAGUUUUUUCGGUGUGGGAUGGGCCCGCGGCCUAUCAGCUUGUUGGUGGGGUAAUGGCCUACCAAGGCGGCGACGGGUAGCCGGCCUGAGAGGGUGGACGGCCACAUUGGGACUGAGACACGGCCCAGACUCCUACGGGAGGCAGCAGUGGGGAAUAUUGCACAAUGGGCGGAAGCCUGAUGCAGCGACGCCGCGUGGGGGAUGACGGCCUUCGGGUUGUAAACUCCUUUCGCCAUCGACGAAGGGUUUCUGACGGUAGAUGGAGAAGAAGCACCGGCUAACUACGUG